RNAcentral lists this ribosomal RNA (490 nucleotides) under uncultured bacterium. RNAcentral describes it as "partial 16S ribosomal RNA". It matches the Rfam family "Bacterial small subunit ribosomal RNA", at positions 30 to 507 of the family's 1533-position model. The record is from RNAcentral.
AUUGAACGCUGGCGGCAGGCCUAACACAUGCAAGUCGAACGGUAACAGGAAGAAGCUUGGUUCUUUGCUGACGAGUGGCGGACGGGUGAGUAAUGUCUGGGAAACUGCCUGAUGGAGGGGGAUAACUACUGGAAACGGUAGCUAAUACCGCAUAACGUCGCAAGACCAAAGAGGGGGACCUUCGGGCCUCUUGCCAUCGGAUGUGCCCAGAUGGGAUUAGCUAGUAGGUGGGGUAACGGCUCACCUAGGCGACGAUCCCUAGCUGGUCUGAGAGGAUGACCAGCCACACUGGAACUGAGACACGGUCCAGACUCCUACGGGAGGCAGCAGUGGGGAAUAUUGCACAAUGGGCGCAAGCCUGAUGCAGCCAUGCCGCGUGUAUGAAGAAGGCCUUCGGGUUGUAAAGUACUUUCAGCGGGGAGGAAGGGAGUAAAGUUAAUACCUUUGCUCAUUGACGUUACCCGCAGAAGAAGCACCGGCUAACUCCGUG